GAAACCAUCAGCUUACAAGCAAUGGGAGGACGAUUUAAACGUCUGACCGUGUGCCUGUUGAAGAAUGAGCCGGCGACUUAUAGGUACAGGUAGAUUAAGCCGAGAAUGGCGAAGUCAAAGGGAAACCGAGUCUGAAUAGGGCGUACAUCUGUAUUUAUAGACCCGAACCCGGGUGAUCUAACCAUGGGCAGGAUGAAGCUUGGGUAACACCAAGUGGAGGUCCGAACCGACUGAUGAUUGAAAAAUCAGCGGAUGACCUGUGGUUAGGGUGAAAUGCCAAUCGAACCCGGAGCUAGCUGGUUCUCCCGAAAUGUGUUGAGGCGCAGCGGCAUGAUAUAGCAAGGGGUAAGCACUGAUCGGUGCGGGCUGCGAGAGCGGUACCAAAUCGAGUCAAACUCUGAAUACC
This 406-nucleotide ribosomal RNA is filed under the name Nostoc sp. HG1. Its description in RNAcentral is "partial 23S ribosomal RNA". It matches the Rfam family "Bacterial large subunit ribosomal RNA", at positions 552 to 964 of the family's 2925-position model. The record is from RNAcentral. Lineage: Bacteria; Bacillati; Cyanobacteriota; Cyanophyceae; Nostocales; Nostocaceae.